CGAUUGACACGACUCUCGGCAAUGGAUAUCUCGGCUCUCGCAUCGAUGAAGAGCGCAGCGAAAUGCGAUACGUGGUGCGAAUUGCAGAAUCCCGCGAACCAUCGAGUCUUUGAACGCAAGUUGCGCCCGAGCCCAACCGGCUAAGGGCACGUCUGCCUGGGCGUCAAG
RNAcentral lists this ribosomal RNA (168 nucleotides) under Dendrobium cariniferum. RNAcentral's name for it is "5.8S ribosomal RNA". It matches the Rfam family "5.8S ribosomal RNA". From Rfam's summary of the family: 5.8S ribosomal RNA (5.8S rRNA) is a component of the large subunit of the eukaryotic ribosome. It is transcribed by RNA polymerase I as part of the 45S precursor that also contains 18S and 28S rRNA. The record is from RNAcentral. Lineage: Eukaryota; Viridiplantae; Streptophyta; Magnoliopsida; Asparagales; Orchidaceae.